Molecule: long non-coding RNA, 3193 nt
Filed under: Sus scrofa (pig)
Lineage: Eukaryota; Metazoa; Chordata; Mammalia; Artiodactyla; Suidae
Description: lncRNA (ENSSSCG00045002768.1)
Source: RNAcentral
AUGGAACGUUCAUGUGGUGUCCCCCACGUUGCUUACCCCGGGGGUCAGUGGGACAUCCCACUGAUUGACUCAUUUUGCAAAGCUCGUGGCCCUUCGUUGCUUCCCCAGCAUCCAAGGUACCGUGUCAGCAGGAAAACUCAUUACCUGCCUGCCUGGUUCCGCUGUCUCAGCUCCUUCUUGGAAGCAGGUGGCGUCUCCAUGAUGAAUACAUUAAAGAGAAAAAAGAAAGAAAACAUUCCUGGGUUGUUGUUAGACCGGCUUCUUACUGGAGACACAGUCCUUCUUCAAGGUAAGUAGCUCCUAAACCACAAGAAGGAGCUUCCUAUGGAGAAAAUAGUUUUUCUUCUGAUAUUGUCAGAGGCCUAGGUUGAAAGGUGUACAUUGCAGAAUAAAUUAAUUAGGCAGCUAAGGCAGGUGUAAGUACUGUUUAGCUAUGCAGAUGCAAAGGUGUUUCUUCCUGGUUGGAUGACAUCCAGGAUGGUAGAGGCAGGGGGUGCAAAAAGUGGCAUCGAGGAGACCUGUGUCCCCCUCUCCCUCUCUCCCCUCCCCCGCCCCACCCCUGGGGCAGCAUGGCCAGGGCGCUGAGCUGGGCGCAGAAAAGUGACAGCCAGUAACUCAGGAAGAAACCGUCAGCAGUUAGUGGUGGCGGAGUGGUUGUGCCAACAUGAGGGCCUGGCAGGGAUGUCUGAGGGGAGGAGCUUGGUGUGAAGAAGGAGCACUUCCAAAUGUGGUGUCUAAAUUAAAACGUUAAUUUCGGUGCCUUUUGACGAAGUGCUGUCACUUCCCUUGGGCCCUUCCCAAAUCUGGGCCGCAAGGAUGGACUAAGAGUGAAAGGAGAAGAGGGGAGCGAGGAGCAAGAGAGGGAAGAAGAGAACUCAGAGGUUUACGAAGUAAAUGAAAAAUUACUUGGCGAAAUUCGACUAGGCCCACAAGGUCUUCGACUGCUGGGAAGUGCCAGUUUGUACCAGGUCGUUUAGGUUGUUAAACCAACUGUCACUGGAGAGGAAAGAAAGAGCUGUUUAAAUUUUGGCAGCUUGAUAGACUUUUUUAAAACCUCUUUUGCAGGGUUGAUUUUAACAUAAAUCUUGAGCAGGCCAAACAUGUAAAACACCACUCAGGCCAUUACAGUUAUGUCAAGGUUCUAUUUUCUCCCGCCAGCAGGCUCUCACUCUCUGCUGAUGUUCUAUGCGUCUGCCAAAACCAUAUAAAAAUCAUUCAUGGAGAAAAGUUCCCAGCGCCAGCAGCCAAUGCAGUCCCUUCCCGAUCUGAAGUUUAACGCUGGCCUGGAGACUGGUGAGGACUGGAUGUUGGGGAAGAUCCUGAGUGAGGAAAGCUUGAAGGGAAGAUGAAUGUAUUCAGUGUCUAGCGGUCCCCGCCCCGGGGGGAAGGACGCACACCCUUCACUUCAUCACAGCUAAAGCUGAAAAGAGACACAAGUUUGUGAUAUUUCUCAGUGACGUAUACCUUCUCAUCUGUCUGGAGUUGUUUUCUGCCAACAAGGAGAUGCUGCUUAAAAAAGCCCAACCCAGGAAACCCUGGCAGUUUGCAGUCAUCAGUACUUAAUAUCUGCGCUUUCCCGGUACAAGACAUCCUGUCUCCCUUUCCUCCUUAAAAAGUAGGAGUUACAGAGAGGGUCAGAGGGAAAAAUGCUUGUCUGUAGUAAGGAAUGGCUUUGAUGAGACGCACACGCACACGCACUGCCCAUGGCAUUUAGAGUCACACAAACUUGCCUUGAGCCGACAGUCCUACGGUGACAUGGGCCAUAUAUUCAAGACCUUUGAGACAGAUAAGAAUUCUGAAGUCCCCCGUGAUUACACUGUGAGAGGAAGCCUUUGUUUAGCUCUUGGCAGUGUUCACAGGACAAUGGGCUGCCAGUGAUAUAUGCAAAUGUGUCCUUUCCCCAUUACUGGACGUGACCUUUAUGAUUAGAUUGGAAGAGCAACAUCAAUUCCUGGGUUAAUAGGACUUAUUGGCCUAAAGGGAGGGAGCAUGUUCUCCUGGCAAGCCUGAAAAACUCAGAAUCAGACCCACCAAAUUCUCAUCUUCAUCACAGCCCCAGGGUUCUUGUGUGGCUAGAGAAAUCCUUCACCUUCUGUGCCUUGUUUGUUCUUCGGAAAUCAGGGGAAAGCACCUUUCUCAGGAGCCUUAGGAGCCUUUAAUAAGAGUUUAAAAGUCAGAAGAGAUGGCAUAAAUGCUAUCACGAUGUUUCAGAUCUCCUUGCAGGACCCUUUUCAGAUUAUUCCUAACCUCCAGUGCCAUGGGCUAAUUCCAGCCAGCUUCAGAGACAACCGUAUCCAUAAGAAUCAUCAUGAAACAGAGUUAAGGGUUACUGAUUAUCCGCAAAAACUGUUCCAUUGCAGUUACACACAAAAAAUGCGAGAAGGUGACUUUCCUGGAGGAGUGAUACAGCCUCACCAAGCAGCACCCCUGCUCCAGCCACCCCUCAAAUCAGCUUUCCCCUCACUUCAGAAGCAAUGGAUUUAGCUGUAAUGUUACUGCUCUGUCUAUACUCAUCAUGGUUAUUUAUCUGCUCUGUGAUAACACUUUACAUUAAAAAAAAAAAGCCUUAAAAUAACUUGACCAGAUUCUCCAAGUCAACAUGUAUUAAAAAUCAGGGGGAGAAAGACAGACUAACUUAAAGACACAGAACAGAGCUAGCGUGUGCUGACAAGUACCUACAGUCACCGACAAAGCAAGCAGAGAUGGAUGUGGGUACAUUUUUUAGUAACUUCAAAAAAAAAAAAAAUUAAAAGUAGUGUUAUCAUUUAAAGGAAGAAGGUGUCAGAUCCUCUAACAAAGAGGGGACUCCCCAUACUUCUAGUUAAAAAAGUAGACAAGGUUUGCAACUGCAUGAAUAGUUACACACUUUACAUUUAACUGUUUGCAAAUGUAGAGCUCUACUGAAGUGUAAGGGUCAGAAGAAGCUGGCAUCACCUUGUUACAAUGUUCUCUGUGAAAGAGGCAUCUGGCUGGGUUUCCCACUCACAGGGCUAAAACGGUUAAGCAUUUAAUUGCUUAGAAAGUAAUCCUAUUAUUUCAGAUUUUUGUGCAUAAUGAAUUCUUUUUUUCCUCUAGUUUGAGAACUUAUGAAGGGCAAGUGAGAUCCUCUGGUAAAUUUAUUUUUGAAAAGGCCCUCGACAGAUGUUGUAACAUCUAAGCAGCAUCGGUCUCAGGCAGAGGCUCUGAGCAGCAG